AUGGGCCUGCGUCUGAUUAGUUAGUUGGUAGGGUAACGGCCUACCAAGGCAGCGAUCAGUAGCCGACCUGAGAGGGUGAUCGGCCACAUUGGAACUGAGACACGGUCCAAACUCCUACGGGAGGCAGCAGUGGGGAAUAUUGCACAAUGGGCGAAAGCCUGAUGCAGCAACGCCGCGUGAAGGAUGAAGGCCUUUGGGUCGUAAACUUCUGUCCUUGGGGAAGAAAAAAAUGACGGUACCCCUGGAGGAAGUCCCGGCUAACUACGUGCCAGCAGCCGCGGUAAUACGUAGGGGGCGAGCGUUAUCCGGAAUUAUUGGGCGUAAAGAGUACGUAGGUGGUUUUUUAAGCGCAGGGUUUAAGGCGAUGGCUCAACUGUCGUUCGCCCUGUGAACUGGAAGACUUGAGUACAGGAGAGGAAAGCGGAAUUCCUAGUGUAGCGGUGAAAUGCAUAGAUAUUAGGAGGAACACCAGUGGCGAAGGCGGCUUUCUGGACUGUAACUGACACUGAGGUACGAAAGCGUGGGUAGCAAACAGGAUUAGAUACCCUGGUAGUCCACGCCGUAAACGAUGAGCACUAGGUGUCGGGGUCGCAAGAUCUCGGUGCCGCAGUUAACGCAUUAAGUGCUCCGCCUGGGGAGUACGCACGCAAGUGUAAACUCAAAGGAAUUGACGGGGACCCGCACAAGCAGCGGAGCAUGUGGUUUAAAUCGAAGCAACGCGAAGAACCUUACCAGAACUUGACAUCCUCCUGACAGGCCUUUAAUCGGGCCCUCCUUUCGGACAGGAGAGACAGUGGUGCAUGGGUUGUCGUC
Molecule: ribosomal RNA, 813 nt
Filed under: uncultured bacterium
Lineage: Bacteria
Description: bacterial SSU rRNA
Rfam family: Bacterial small subunit ribosomal RNA
Source: RNAcentral